GACGAACGCUGGCGGCGUGCCUAACACAUGCAAGUCGAGCGGGGUUGAAGCGAGGGGUAACUCGAGUUUCUACCUAGCGGCGGACGGGUGAGUAACGCGUGGGCAACCUGCCUCAAGGACUGGGAUAACAGCUCGAAAGGGCUGCUAAUACCGGAUAAGCCUAUGGCCUCGCAUGGGGCCAUGAGCAAAGGGGAAACCCGCCUUGAGAUGGGCCCGCGUCCCAUCAGCUAGUUGGUGAGGUGAAGGCUCACCAAGGCGACGACGGGUAGCCGGCCUGAGAGGGUGACCGGCCACACUGGGACUGAGACACGGCCCAGACUCCUACGGGGGCAGCAGUGGGGAAUCUUGCACAAUGGGCGAAAGCCUGAUGCAGCGACGCCGCGUGAGCGAAGAAGGCCUCGGUUGUAAAGCUCUGUCUGGAGGGACGAAGGAAGUGACGGUACCUCCGGAGGAAGCCACGGCUAACUACGUGCCAGCAGCCGCGGUAAACUACGUACGUACGUACG
Molecule: ribosomal RNA, 506 nt
Filed under: uncultured bacterium
Lineage: Bacteria
Description: bacterial SSU rRNA
Rfam family: Bacterial small subunit ribosomal RNA
Source: RNAcentral